CAAACAGUUUCCACCGUUCAUAACAAAAAAAUCCUCUCUCUCCAUGUCCGCCGCUUCUGUAUUCCUUCUGUCCUUUCCUUUUUCCAUGACCAGUGGACGUUCCCGAUUCAUCCAACUCUCCCGAGUUACUCAUUUCCGAUCUUUUACUAACCGUUUUUUCUUCUUCCUCCUCCUCUUCUUUCAGCGCCGCCGCCUUGUUAACCGGAUCGGGAUCUUGAUAAGCCUCAACCAUUUUAUCUCCGUCGUGAUCGGUGACUUUAUCGACGGAGGCUGUAGAGUUGGACUCGUUCAUCGACCUAUUGUCGUCCCGGUCAGACUCCGUCGUUUCCCGGUUAAGCUUCGCCGGUUUAGUUUCGUCGUUUUCCAGAUCUGGUUUAUUGUCUACAUCAUCUCCGUCUUUCUCGAAAAUGAGUUUUAUGCUGUCUAUGUCAAUUCAAAGCAGAGGAAUCAUCUACGGGUAGCUAAAGAAGUACGAGCAAAAUGAGUUUUAUGCUGACAUGCUCGAAAAUGAGUUUUAUGCUGGUUCUUACAAGAUCCCUUUUGUAUGGAGAUAUCUCGACAAAGAACAGCUCAUAUGCUCGCCUUACUAAGAUUGAAUCAUUCCAAACCUUUUUGCUACUGUAGAUGCCGAGGAGCUAUCUGGUUCAAGUACUACGGAGGUUUGGUGUGUGUGUUUAGUUCUGAGAUUGAAUUUUGUAUUUGGUAAGCUUCUUACUAAAGUGCUGUUGUGUUUGGUCUCUGAGCUUUUUACUUCUGUGUUAUGUUUGUAGUGCAGGGAAACCGGAUUGGAUCUUCGAAUCGUAAACACGCUUUUGGAUCCUCUCAAUGGAGAACUCAGCCAUUUAUAUUUGUGGACAACUUCUCCCAGUGCCCCCAUGCAUGGUUCUCCAUAACCCUUUCAAAUCUCCACCGAGAUACCUCUUGUAUGGAGAUAUCUCGACGAAUGCAGCUCAUAUGCUCGCUUACCUAAGGUAAGGAUUAUUACACCAUUUAAAUUUGUGUUCCGUAGAUGCCAAGGAGGGCGCUCAUCCUGCUGAAGUCCAGAGCUUUGUGCAGGUAAAGUGGAGUGGAUCUUCUAACCACAACACGCUUUUGUUUCCUAUAAAUUUUGUAAAGCGUUGCACAUUAUUAUUAUACCAUCACGUUUACACUCUUUAAAGAUAGUUCGUGACUAUGAUCAGUUCGAGAUGAAUUGUACUUGGGUAUGUAAAACAUUGAUAUGUCUAUUUUCAAAGUUAUGGCUGAUUUACGUUGAAAUUA
Non-coding RNA from Camelina sativa (false flax), 1260 nucleotides. NCBI's taxonomy places the organism in Eukaryota, Viridiplantae, Streptophyta, Magnoliopsida, Brassicales, Brassicaceae. The record is from RefSeq and is a predicted model, not a curated record.